GAUCAUUACAGAGUUGCAAAACUCCCACAAACCAUCGCGAAUCUUACCCGUACGGUUGCCUCGGCGCUGGCGGUCCGGAAAGGCCCUCGGGCCCUCCCGGAUCCUCGGGUCUCCCGCUCGCGGGAGGCUGCCCGCCGGAGUGCCGAAACUAAACUCUUGAUAUUUUAUGUCUCUCUGAGUAAACUUUUAAAUAAGUCAAAACUUUCAACAACGGAUCUCUUGGUUCUGGCAUCGAUGAAGAACGCAGCGAAAUGCGAUAAGUAAUGUGAAUUGCAGAAUUCAGUGAAUCAUCGAAUCUUUGAACGCACAUUGCGCUCGCCAGUAUUCUGGCGAGCAUGCCUGUUCGAGCGUCAUUUCAACCAUCAAGCUCUGCUUGCGUUGGGGAUCCGCGGCUGCCCGCGGUCCCUCAAAAUCAGUGGCGGGCUCGCUAGUCACACCGAGCGUAGUAACUCUACAUCGCUAUGGUCGUGCGGCGGGUUCUUGCCGUAAAACCCCCCAUUUCUAAGGUUGACCUCGGAUCAGGUAGGAAUACCCGCUGAACUUAAGCAUAUC
This 552-nucleotide unclassified non-coding RNA is filed under the name Neurospora tetrasperma. Its description in RNAcentral is "sequence contains 18S rRNA gene, ITS1, 5.8S rRNA gene, ITS2, 28S rRNA gene". The stretch from base 200 to 353 matches the Rfam family "5.8S ribosomal RNA". The record is from RNAcentral. Lineage: Eukaryota; Fungi; Ascomycota; Sordariomycetes; Sordariales; Sordariaceae.